GGGUUGUGAGGUUAAGCGACUAAGCGUACACGGUGGAUGCCCUGGCAGUCAGAGGCGAUGAAGGGCGUGCUAAUCUGCGAUAAGCGCCGGUAAGGUGAUAUGAACCGUUAUAACCGGCGAUACCCGAAUGGGGAAACCCAGUGUGAUUCGUCACACUAUCAUUAACUGAAUCCAUAGGUUAAUGAGGCGAACCGGGGGAACUGAAACAUCUAAGUACCCCGAGGAAAAGAAAUCAACCGAGAUUCCCCCAGUAGCGGCGAGCGAACGGGGAGGAGCCCAGAGCCUGAAUCAGCAUGUGUGUUAGUGGAAGCGUCUGGAAAGGCGCGCGAUACAGGGUGACAGCCCCGUACACAAAAGCGCAUGUGCUGUGAGCUCGAUGAGUAGGGCGGGACACGUGGUAUCCUGUCUGAAUAUGGGGGGACCAUCCUCCAAGGCUAAAUACUCCUGACUGACCGAUAGUGAACCAGUACCGUGAGGGAAAGGCGAAAAGAACCCCGGCGAGGGGAGUGAAAAAGAACCUGAAACCGUGUACGUACAAGCAGUGGGAGCACAGGUUUACCUGUGUGACUGCGUACCUUUUGUAUAAUGGGUCAGCGACUUAUAUUCUGUAGCAAGGUUAACCGAAUAGGGGAGCCGGAGGGAAACCGAGUCUUAAUUGGGCGUUAAGUUGCAGGGUAUAGACCCGAAACCCGGUGAUCUAGCCAUGGGCAGGUUGAAGGUUGGGUAACACUAACUGGAGGACCGAACCGACUAAUGUUGAAAAAUUAGCGGAUGACCUGUGGCUGGGGGUGAAAGGCCAAUCAAACCGGGAGAUAGCUGGUUCUCCCCGAAAGCUAUUUAGGUAGCGCCUCGUGAAUUCAUCUCCGGGGGUAGAGCACUGUUUCGGCUAGGGGGCCAUCCCGGCUUACCAACCCGAUGCAAACUGCGAAUACCGGAGAAUGUUAUCACGGGAGACACACGGCGGGUGCUAACGUCCGUCGUGAAGAGGGAAACAACCCAGACCGCCAGCUAAGGUCCCAAAGUCAUGGUUAAGUGGGAAACGAUGUGGGAAGGCCCAGACAGCCAGGAUGUUGGCUUAGAAGCAGCCAUCAUUUAAAGAAAGCGUAAUAGCUCACUGGUCGAGUCGGCCUGCGCGGAAGAUGUAACGGGGCUAAACCAUGCACCGAAGCUGCGGCAGCGAAAGAAAGCGUAAUAGCUCACUGGUCGAGUCGGCCUGCGCGGAAGAUGUAACGGGGCUAAACCAUGCACCGAAGCUGCGGCAGCGAACGUAUCACUUAAAGCGAUUCAGCGGGUUACGAUUGACGGAGCGAAGCGACGUCAAAGCGUAUACAAAGUCGAGUCGGUUUAAGGAUACGUUCGUUGGGUAGGGGAGCGUUCUGUAAGCCUGUGAAGGUGGCCUGUGAGGGUUGCUGGAGGUAUCAGAAGUGCGAAUGCUCAUUUAAAGAAAGCGUAAUAGCUCACUGGUCGAGUCGGCCUGCGCGGAAGAUGUAACGGGGCUAAACCAUGCACCGAAGCUGCGGCAGCGACGCUUAUGCGUUGUUGGGUAGGGGAGCGUUCUGUAAGCCUGUGAAGGUGGCCUGUGAGGGUUGCUGGAGGUAUCAGAAGUGCGAAUGCUGACAUAAGUAACGAUAAAGCGGGUGAAAAGCCCGCUCGCCGGAAGACCAAGGGUUCCUGUCCAACGUUAAUCGGGGCAGGGUGAGUCGACCCCUAAGGCGAGGCCGAAAGGCGUAGUCGAUGGGAAACGGGUUAAUAUUCCCGUACUUGGUGUUACUGCGAAGGGGGGACGGAGAAGGCUAUGUUGGCCGGGCGACGGUUGUCCCGGUUUAAGCGUGUAGGUGUGUGUUCCAGGUAAAUCCGGUUCACUUUAACACUGAGGCGUGAUGACGAGGCACUACGGUGCUGAAGUAACAAAUGCCCUGCUUCCAGGAAAAGCCUCUAAGCAUCAGGUAACAUCAAAUCGUACCCCAAACCGACACAGGUGGUCAGGUAGAGAAUACCAAGGCGCUUGAGAGAACUCGGGUGAAGGAACUAGGCAAAAUGGUGCCGUAACUUCGGGAGAAGGCACGCUGACACGUAGGUGAAGUGAUUUACUCACGGAGCUGAAGUCAGUCGAAGAUACCAGCUGGCUGCAACUGUUUAUUAAAAACACAGCACUGUGCAAACACGAAAGUGGACGUAUACGGUGUGACGCCUGCCCGGUGCCGGAAGGUUAAUUGAUGGGGUCAGCGCAAGCGAAGCUCCUGAUCGAAGCCCCGGUAAACGGCGGCCGUAACUAUAACGGUCCUAAGGUAGCGAAAUUCCUUGUCGGGUAAGUUCCGACCUGCACGAAUGGCGUAAUGAUGGCCAGGCUGUCUCCACCCGAGACUCAGUGAAAUUGAACUCGCUGUGAAGAUGCAGUGUACCCGCGGCAAGACGGAAAGACCCCGUGAACCUUUACUAUAGCUUGACACUGAACAUUGAGCCUUGAUGUGUAGGAUAGGUGGGAGGCUUUGAAGUGUGGACGCCAGUCUGCAUGGAGCCGACCUUGAAAUACCACCCUUUAAUGUUUGAUGUUCUAACGUGGACCCGUUACCCGGGUUGCGGACAGUGUCUGGUGGGUAGUUUGACUGGGGCGGUCUCCUCCUAAAGAGUAACGGAGGAGCACGAAGGUUGGCUAAUCCUGGUCGGACAUCAGGAGGUUAGUGCAAUGGCAUAAGCCAGCUUGACUGCGAGCGUGACGGCGCGAGCAGGUGCGAAAGCAGGUCAUAGUGAUCCGGUGGUUCUGAAUGGAAGGGCCAUCGCUCAACGGAUAAAAGGUACUCCGGGGAUAACAGGCUGAUACCGCCCAAGAGUUCAUAUCGACGGCGGUGUUUGGCACCUCGAUGUCGGCUCAUCACAUCCUGGGGCUGAAGUAGGUCCCAAGGGUAUGGCUGUUCGCCAUUUAAAGUGGUACGCGAGCUGGGUUUAGAACGUCGUGAGACAGUUCGGUCCCUAUCUGCCGUGGGCGCUGGAGAACUGAGGGGGGCUGCUCCUAGUACGAGAGGACCGGAGUGGACGCAUCACUGGUGUUCGGGUUGUCAUGCCAAUGGCACUGCCCGGUAGCUAAAUGCGGAAGAGAUAAGUGCUGAAAGCAUCUAAGCACGAAACUUGCCCCGAGAUGAGUUCUCCCUGAGACUUAAAGUCUCCUGAAGGAACGUUGAAGACGACGACGUUGAUAGGCCGGGUGUGUAAGCGCAGCGAUGCGUUGAGCUAACCGGUACUAAUGAACCGUGAGGCUUAACCCUACAACGCCGAAG
Molecule: ribosomal RNA, 3275 nt
Filed under: Salmonella enterica subsp. enterica serovar Dublin
Lineage: Bacteria; Pseudomonadati; Pseudomonadota; Gammaproteobacteria; Enterobacterales; Enterobacteriaceae
Description: bacterial LSU rRNA
Rfam family: Bacterial large subunit ribosomal RNA
Source: RNAcentral